UUGUGGCCGGGAGAGGCAGCCGUGCCCGGGCUGGCGCUGUCGAAGUUGACCUGGAAAGGCGCGUCACAGAGGGUGAGAGCCCCGUGCGCGACACCGCCGGGCCGGGCCGCUACUGUCUUCGGAGAGUCGGGUUGUUUGGGAUUGCAGCCCAAAGUGGGUGGUAAACUCCAUCUAAAGCUAAAUACUGGCACGAGACCGAUAGCGAACAAGUACCGUGAGGGAAAGGUGAAAAGUACUUUGAAAAGAGAGUCAAAAAGACCGCGAAACCGUUGGGAGGGAAACGAAUGCGGCUGAAGUGGCCGCCCGUCAGGCUCAGGAGACGUCGUGCGGGUCCCGGCUCCUCGCGGUUGCUUCCGCGGCGGUGGCCCUGGGUGCCCGUCGAGCGGCUCUGCACUUCUGCGGGCGGCCUGCCAACGGCAGUUGCUCCCGGCCCAGGAGGUCGUGUGGGGUAGGUGGCUCCGCGUCCGCGUGGGGACCUUACAGCCCGGCGUCUCGGCGCUCCGGGAGGCGACUGAGGAGAGUUUCCUUGCGCGAGUCUUUCGCGCUGGCAGCGCAGGCUGCCCCCCCUCCGGGGGGGGCGGCUGGGCCGCCUCCGUCCGGCACCCGGCCGCGCGGGUCACUGCUUGCAGUGUCACGUCGACGGUGCGGGGGUCGGGCGGGUGGGCCGGUCGCACCUUGCGCUGCGGUCGUUGGCGUCCGAAUGGCCGCAUCCGACCCGUCUUGAAACACGGACCAAGGAGUGCAACAUGUGCGCGAGUCCCGGGGUGGCAAACCCGUCGGCGCAAUGAAAGUGAAGGCGGCGCCUCGUUGCCCGCUGUGGCGAGAGCCCCUUCCCUCCCCUCCCGGGGAGGUGGGGGCGCAUCGUCGACCGAUCCCUGUGUCACGCUG
RNAcentral lists this ribosomal RNA (888 nucleotides) under Poecilosclerida sp. 2 JV-2020. RNAcentral's name for it is "partial large subunit ribosomal RNA". It matches the Rfam family "Eukaryotic large subunit ribosomal RNA", at positions 143 to 783 of the family's 3401-position model. Lineage: Eukaryota; Metazoa; Porifera; Demospongiae; Poecilosclerida. The record is from RNAcentral.